UUGUGGAAUGCUAAUAAUAGUCCUCUAAAUUUUUUGUUGAAGCAAAUACUAUAAAUGGAUGCUAAUGGAGUCCAAAUAUAUUAGAAAGAGCGCUUUCAAUGGAAGGGACCAUGGUCUGAGCUGCUUUUGCAUUAUGUUGUCAAUGACCCAUGAUUUUGAGAAAAAACAGAUUCUUUUCGCUUUUCAAACCUAAUUUUAGCCUCAUCUUUUUUAUAACAUGCUUUGGAAAAAAUCACCUCGACUGGACUUGCAAUAAAGGAAAUAGCUUUACCUUUUUUUUUGUUUUUUUUGUUUUUUUUGGGUACAACGAUGCUUAAAGAUAGUAAAGUGAAAAUGAACCUUUUUAAUACGUUUCUUAAAGAGAAGGGUAAUGCUAGGGAGACUGAAAUUGUAGGAGAGAUUUUUCAGUGCGAUCGGUACACGGGAUUGUACACCACAUGUCAAUAAACAAAUGGUGGGAUAUGUGUGCUAAAAAGUUAAUAACUUAACAAAUAAAAUUUCCUACCAUUCCUAUUAAAACAUGUGUACCACUUGUGUUCCCGUCACAACUAAAAAUUUCUCAAAUUGUAGACAAAAUUUACAAACUAAAUGAUGUGUUAUGAAUAAAAAUGAGCACGCUUAUCAAUGUUUGACUAAUAAUCUAAUCAUCAACUUCCAUGUCAUUUAAUUUACAAAAUUUAAUUUAUAAAUUUAGUCUCCUAGCACUACCCCAAAAAGAAAUCACCUCAAGUGGACUUGCUUUUUAUUAUUAUUAUUAUUAUUUUUAAUGAAAAAAUUAGAUUCUCAUCAUUCAUUUUCCUACUCCAUUGAUUAAAAUCAUAUUCCUUUUCAAUUUUUGAUCAAGGUUUCUAGGUAUUAAUAACAUCAUUAAUUAUUUCAAUA
This 882-nucleotide long non-coding RNA is filed under the name Malus domestica (apple). RNAcentral describes it as "long non-coding RNA (MDOM_LNC002671)". Lineage: Eukaryota; Viridiplantae; Streptophyta; Magnoliopsida; Rosales; Rosaceae. The record is from RNAcentral.